This 606-nucleotide ribosomal RNA is filed under the name Triticum aestivum (bread wheat). RNAcentral describes it as "partial small subunit ribosomal RNA". The record is from RNAcentral. Lineage: Eukaryota; Viridiplantae; Streptophyta; Magnoliopsida; Poales; Poaceae.
AUGGACAACCACGGUGAUAUGUGCUACUACAGCGGCGGCGGCAUGGGCGCCGCGGCCGACCCCUCCUGCUCCUCCACCUCCUUGUCGUCCAUUGACUCGUUUCUAUCCGACUUGAGCGGCGGCGAGAUGAUCGACGAGGAAAUAAGGAGUCAGCCCAAGAGGCCAGCAGCCUCGGCGUUCAUCGGCGUGCGCGCGCGGCCGUGGGGACGGUUUGCGGCGGAGAUCCGGGACUCGACGCGGGGCGGCGCGCGGGUGUGGUUGGGCACGUUUGCCACGGCCGAGGCCGCCGCCAUGGCCUACAACAAGGCGGCGCUCUCGUCACGGGGCGCGGCCACGGCGCUCGAUUUCCCUCUGGAGCGCGUCCAGGAGUCGCUCCAGGCACUUGGCACUACCAUGACAGGCAUAGGCGGAUCGCCCGUGCUGGCGCUCAAAUGGCGCCACUCCAAGAGAAGAAGGCGCAGCAAGGCCGAGAUAGCGAAAGACGCGGCGACAUGCGUGAGGAGGAGCAAGGUCAUAGCCAAGCAGCAGCAGUUCAUCGUGGAGCUGGAGGACAUCGGCGUCGACUACCUGGAUGAGCUUCUCAGGAUCACGUGUAACACUACUUAG